UACGUAGGGGGCAAGCGUUGUCCGGCAUCAUUGGGCGUAAAGAGCGUGUAGGCGGCCCGGUCAGUCCGCCGUGAAAGUCCAGGGCUCAACCCUGGAAUGCCGGUGGAUACUGCCGGGCUGGAGUCCGGAAGAGGCGAGUGGAAUUCCUGGUGUAGCGGUGAAAUGCGCAGAUAUCAGGAGGAACACCAAUUGCGAAGGCAGCUCGCUGGGACGUAACUGACGCUGAGACGCGAAAGCGUGGGGAGCAAACAGG
RNAcentral lists this ribosomal RNA (253 nucleotides) under uncultured bacterium. RNAcentral describes it as "partial 16S ribosomal RNA". It matches the Rfam family "Bacterial small subunit ribosomal RNA", at positions 524 to 776 of the family's 1533-position model. The record is from RNAcentral.